This 48-nucleotide non-coding RNA is filed under the name Schistosoma margrebowiei. The record is from RNAcentral. Lineage: Eukaryota; Metazoa; Platyhelminthes; Trematoda; Strigeidida; Schistosomatidae.
ACCUGACUGACGAGUCCCAAAUAGGACGACAAGCGCGUCAACCUGGAU